AGCCCCGCCCCCACGGGCCCGCCCGGAGGCUUAAACCGCAACCCCGCGGCUCUGGAGGGCGUUGAUGCCCGCGCCAACACCAGGCCGUGCGUGGGCUCCGGAGCGCGGCAUGGAGGGGCCGGCCUAGCUGGAGCCCGUGGCCCUAUGUCUUCUGGCUGCGACUCCGGUCCUGCGCACGCUGCGGGGCCGCUGCCGCCGGGCGUAUCAGACUAUCAGAAGGCAUGAAGAAACCUGGGCUGAGAGUCUUCGUUCCAGGAGACCUGAUCUUGACUGUAUGGCUGGUUUGAGGCGCAUCACUCUGAACUGCAGCACGCUCAUUGGUGACCUGGGUACAAGUGCUUUGGCAGAAUCUCUUAGUGAGGAUUUAUGGCUUAGAGGACUCUUCCACACGUGAGAAAAUGGGAGCUGUCUAUAUGUUAAAUCUGUAUAGACUUCGCAAAUGACCUUUUGUCUUUCAUCGAAAGCACUGGACCUGCAGCAGUGUGGCCUCACCAGUGAGGGAGCAAAGGCUUUACUAAAGGCCCUUGAAACCAACAGAACUCUGCUCGUUCUGGAUAUAAGAAAAAAUCCACUUAUUGUACCAGUGGAUAACUUCUCCAUCGGUGAAGGAACCAUACAAAGCUGCUAGACAGAAAAGGAGAACUAUAAUUUUGGAAAGUGGUUGAAAAGGAAAAGCUACUAUUAGAAUUGAUGUCCAGUGGAGCCCCAGAAUAAAAGCAAGAUGAAUAUUCAAUUCCACAUUGGCAACACCAAAGAAGAUGAUGCUUUAGAAAAAAGAUUUCUCGACAAAGCUCUUGAACUCAAUAUGAUCUCCCCGAAAAGGCAUAGGUGAGUACAUGUCCCAUUCA
This is a long non-coding RNA of Orcinus orca (killer whale), 848 nucleotides long. RefSeq lists it as uncharacterized. The transcript is spliced from 5 exons. NCBI's taxonomy places the organism in Eukaryota, Metazoa, Chordata, Mammalia, Artiodactyla, Delphinidae. The record is from RefSeq and is a predicted model, not a curated record.